GUAGCAAUACUUUGGGUGGCGACCGGCGCACGGGUGAGUAACGCGUAUGCAACCCAUCUAUCAGAGGGGAAUAACCCGGCGAAAGUCGGACUAAUACCGCAUAAAACAGGGACACCGCAUGGUGAUAUUUGUUAAAGAAAUUCGCUGAUAGAUGGGCAUGCGUUCCAUUAGGUAGUUGGUGAGGUAACGGCUCACCAAGCCGACGAUGGAUAGGGGAACUGAGAGGUUGGUCCCCCACACUGGUACUGAGACACGGACCAGACUCCUACGGGAGGCAGCAGUGAGGAAUAUUGGUCAAUGGGCGAGAGCCUGAACCAGCCAAGUCGCGUGAAGGAAGAAGGAUCUAUGGUUCGUAAACUUCUUUUGCAGGGGAAUAAAGUGCAGGACGUGUCCUGUUUUGUAUGUACCCUGAGAAUAAGGAUCGGCUAACUCCGUGCCAGCAGCCGCGGUAAUACGGAGGAUCCGAGCGUUAUCCGGAUUUAUUGGGUUUAAAGGGUGCGUAGGUGGUUUGAUAAGUCAGCGGUGAAAGUUUGCAGCUUAACUGUAAAAAUGCCGUUGAAACUGUCGGACUUGAGUGUAAAUGAGGUAGGCGGAAUGCGUGGUGUAGCGGUGAAAUGCUUAGAUAUCACGAAGAACUCCGAUUG
Molecule: ribosomal RNA, 644 nt
Filed under: uncultured Bacteroidales bacterium
Lineage: Bacteria; Pseudomonadati; Bacteroidota; Bacteroidia; Bacteroidales
Also listed under: 1 other name
Description: bacterial SSU rRNA
Rfam family: Bacterial small subunit ribosomal RNA
Source: RNAcentral